CAUGGAUUGUGUUAGUUUGGAGGGUGAGGAUUUAUUCUCACCAAAUAAAUCUAAUGGCUAGGAUGCAUUCUUGAAAUAUGAGGGAACUAGUAUAAAAUGGCAAGAAGGGAAGUCUUGGUUUCCUUUGGCCAUUUGGAGAAAGAAAUGAAGAAGGAAAGAAAGAAAGGGAGAUAAGAAAGUCUCCCAUGGAAGAAAAAGUGAAGAAGAAGAGAAGAAAUCAAAUGGGAGAAAAUGAAGAUGGAAGCUCUCUUGAAAUGGAGAUUUAAUAUUCAAGAAGAGGUUGUGAAAACAUGGUAAAGUAAAGCAAAUGGUGGAAUGGCAUGUGGGAGCAUGAAAAGAAGAUUCAAGUGCAUGUUAUGGCCUAUGGAAGCCUAUGUUGUUAUGUUUGAUUUAUGAGAUGUAAACUUGUUUGGUUGGUGAUGGCUUAUUCAAGCCUAAGAUCAUGUAUGUAAUUUAUAUUUUAGGAUGUUUGAUUUUAUUGUGAAAUGAGGCAUUGGCUUAAGGCAUGUUGAAGCCUAGGUUGGGUGAAAGCCUCAUUGUUGAGUAUGUUGUGGGAAGCAACUAAGAUGUAAAGUAAAAUGGUUUUGUUGGAAAAAUUUGUGUGUGUUUGAUAAUGUUAUGGAAGUAUUGAAAGUUGGGUUUAAG
Long non-coding RNA from Diospyros lotus (date-plum), 645 nucleotides. RefSeq lists it as uncharacterized. The transcript has 3 exons. Lineage: Eukaryota; Viridiplantae; Streptophyta; Magnoliopsida; Ericales; Ebenaceae. The record is from RefSeq and is a predicted model, not a curated record.